UAGAGGGCAAGUGCUUCUGCGAAAAUGAGAAUGAGAAUCAUCCCUACGAAGAGCUUUGGCUGUUGUGCAUUGGCCCUGACUCCGGCAUCACCAACAAUCCCAAUAGCCAUCCCAGCAGCAAGCCCCGCCAGCCCGCACGACAAUCCAGACGAUAGAUGAGCAUAUCCGUCAAACAGAUAAUACGACUUCGCCUUAGGAUUGAUCCCGGUACUAA
This 214-nucleotide unclassified non-coding RNA is filed under the name Hevea brasiliensis (rubber tree). The record is from RNAcentral. Lineage: Eukaryota; Viridiplantae; Streptophyta; Magnoliopsida; Malpighiales; Euphorbiaceae.